AGGCAGAACUUGUACUUGGAACCUAAUCAGGAAGAAGACCUGCUACAACCAACACCAGCACUGUGCAGAGGGUCACCGCAGCACCCGGAACCUGACAUGAAAUUCACAAUCUCCACGAGAUAAGGCACAGCCAAAACAGCACGGGAUGACAAAACCUGAACUUGCUAUGGGAAUUUCCAAACAGAUAAGAACUUAAGAACUUUGCAAACACACCCCAGGUUGAAAGACAAGAGAAACUUGAAGAAAAUAGCAAUAUGAGCAGUGAAAAUAUGAGCACCUUUCUUAAAAGGUCCUCAUAAGAACUACAACACAAAAGAGACCAAGGCCCUGACUGUCUCCUAUUCAACAGAAUCAGUACUCAGAUGAGUGCCAUCAAGAUCUCUUUAGUCUCCAUAAGUGAUUGCAAACACUUGACAAUCAAGAUUAAUGUCUGACCUGUCGCAGCCAAGUGGAGAAGGAAGUCCCCGAGUUCCUACGCUUCUCUUCAGCUGACUUUUGCCAGCACGAACACAGGAAACGGAACACAGCUGCAUCAGUCUAGCAAUGCAGGUCUGCAGGAUAGGGAUGAUGCAAGGACCACUGGGCCAGGACACAGCUGAAAUGCCACGCUCUGAGUUCCCAGGAGUUUAGGUACCAGUCUCAACAACUGAUGGACCCAAAAGCCCAGGACAGCCCAUGAGAGCUCCACAUUCACUUGGCCAUGAGGACUGCUUCAGGCAUGUGAUCAAGCCAGGCCAAUCAGAACCUUUGGACUUGACAGUGAGGCCUUCACAUUCCUGAAGUGAACUUCCAACAGGCUGCUUCAAAUCUCCAAACUGGCCAACAUCGAAAUGUUUGGACAGACGCUCUGCUGUCUCCCUGAUUGUACACCUGGAUGCAAUCAUGUUUCCAAGGCAAGGCCACAUUGCAAGUGAACUGCUUUUUCAAAUUUCA
Long non-coding RNA from Felis catus (domestic cat), 933 nucleotides. RefSeq lists it as uncharacterized. Lineage: Eukaryota; Metazoa; Chordata; Mammalia; Carnivora; Felidae. The record is from RefSeq and is a predicted model, not a curated record. The transcript has 6 exons.